UACGAAAGGUGCAGGCGUUACUCGGAAUCACUGGGCGUAAAGCGCACGUAGGCGGACUUACAGGUCAAUUGUGAAAUACCUGGGCUCAACCCGGGAACUGCAGUUGAAACCGUUUGUCUUGAAUACCUGAGAGGGUGGGGGAAUACCUGGUGGAGAAGUGAAAUUCGUAGAGAUCAGGUGGAACACCGGAGGCGAAGGCGCCUGCCUGGCAGUGUAUUGACGCUGAGGUGCGAAAGUGCGGGGAGCAAACAGG
RNAcentral lists this ribosomal RNA (253 nucleotides) under uncultured bacterium. RNAcentral describes it as "partial 16S ribosomal RNA". It matches the Rfam family "Bacterial small subunit ribosomal RNA", at positions 524 to 776 of the family's 1533-position model. The record is from RNAcentral.